GCCGGGGUAGCUCAGCCUGGCCUAGAGUGCCAGUCUCUCCAUCUGGAGGUCGUGGGUUCGAAACCCACCCCCGGCA
Molecule: transfer RNA, 76 nt
Filed under: Nitrososphaerota archaeon
Lineage: Archaea; Thermoproteati; Nitrososphaerota
Also listed under: 1 other name
Description: Thaumarchaeota archaeon tRNA-Glu
Rfam family: tRNA
About the family: Transfer RNA (tRNA) molecules are approximately 80 nucleotides in length. Their secondary structure includes four short double-helical elements and three loops (D, anti-codon, and T loops).
Source: RNAcentral